UUGCAUUACCAGAUGAAUAAAGAAUGAAAGAAUAAAUAUUAUACACUUUAUGGGAGAGGGGUACAUUUGUUAUGAAUGGGGAUGGUUCAUGGCAAUCAAACAAUAAGAAUAUAUGCCUCAAUCAUCAUACAAGUACGUAACAGUUAUCAAUCAAAUCAGAUAAGUAAACAGGUAUAUAAUCAAAUCAAAGAAUCAAAGAAUGAAAUAACGGAGCUUAAAACAAGGCAUGAGAAGUAUGAACAUGUUAAACAA
This 252-nucleotide long non-coding RNA is filed under the name Lathyrus oleraceus (garden pea). RNAcentral describes it as "Pisum sativum (pea) long non-coding RNA (PSAT_LNC029531)". Lineage: Eukaryota; Viridiplantae; Streptophyta; Magnoliopsida; Fabales; Fabaceae. The record is from RNAcentral.